CAGAGCUGGCAGUAAAAGGGUACCACUGAUGGCCUUGGUACCUGGAAGCUUGGUGUCCUGCUGUUGAUGAAACUCAGGCCCACCUGCAACCCUUGGUGACCAAGUCUCAUGGCAGGAAUAUCUUCAGCUCUUUGUCUGUUGCUUCUGCACACAAAAUGUCAGCUCGUUACCGAUCCAGUCACCUCAGAAAAAGUGGCACAUUGUUCAAGGUUAAGAAAGAUGACUUAGAAAUGGCUGCAUGUGAUAACAGACCUACAGCUGGGCAAGUGGAGAUGACUGAGCAAGGUAAUUGCAGAUACAGAACGGAAUAGGCCCUACCGGCCCUUUGAGCUGUACCACCCAUUGAUUUAACCCAAGCCUAAUCGCAGGAAAAUUUACAAAAACCAAUAAACCUACUUAACUGAUACAUCUUUGGUCUGCGGGAGGAAACCGGAGCACCCGGAGGAAACCCACGCGCACACGGGAAGGAACGUACAAACUUACAGAGGAUGCCGGAAUUGAACUCUGAACUCAGCCAUGAGCUGUAAUAGUGUGGCAUGGUUUUUGUUUCACCCACCCAUUGACUUAUGAUACUUUCUGUGCUGGUGUAUUCCCAGUCAAUGUUUUACUGUAGGUAGCUUGAUGCUUGGGCUUUAAUUGCAAUAAUUACUUUUCAGUAAGGUGGGUAGGGAGAAAACUGGGAGCUUUCCAACAUCGCCGUUAAACAAAAGAGCUUGCAGUAAAUGAAACAAGUCCAAGGCCCUUGCACUGGACUGUGUUCAUAUCGAUUUUUGAGAGGAGACCCUUUUUAACUCUACAUUGCUGUAAUUUCACAAAUACUGUGGUUUUUUGUAGCUGGAUGGAGUGAUUGGGCAAAAACCUGGCACAUGGAGUUCAAAGUGGGGAAGUGGGAGGUCAAGAACUUUGAGAGUAAUCAAAAGGCAGAUUGCUACCUAAAUGGAGAGAGACUGCAAGUGAGUGAAGUUCAGAAGGAUUUGGGUGUUCUAGUGCAUGAGUUAUGAGAAGUUAGCAGGCAAGUCCAACAAAUAGUUAAAAGGGCCAAAUGUCACAGUGACCUUUAUUGGAAAAGGGUUGGAGUUUGCAGAAGAAGUUUUGUUAUAGCCAUACAGUGUGUUGAUGUGGCUAGUCUUGGAAAAAUGUGCACAGUUUUGAUCCCCUUGCGAUAUCGUAGCACGAGCAAAAAUCUAAAAGAAAUUCACCAGGCUAAUUCCAACAAUGAGGGGGCCAGCCUUUCUAGAGAGGCUGGACAGUUUGGGUCUCUAUUCCUUGGAGCUCAAAAGAAUGAGGCAUGACAUUCAAAUAUUUAAAAUCUUGAGGGGGCUUCAUUUAAAGCUGAGGUGGAUGAAAAGUCUUCCCUUCUCCUCCAAAGAUUGAGAAAUUGAGGGUUUUGGGGGACUGACAUAGAAAUGAAGUUGAGGUCAGUGUAGAUCAACCCCUAUCAUAUUGAAUAAUGGGCAGGCUUAAGUGACCUGGUAGCCUGCUCCUGUGAUGUCCUUGCAGUCAUGUCCCUGAGCCUGGGAUUCUUAUUCUACACAGGAUCCUUGCACAGAAGCAAAAGUAACUGUAGAUAUUGAAAAAACUAAGAACAGGAAA
Long non-coding RNA from Mobula hypostoma (lesser devil ray), 1593 nucleotides. RefSeq lists it as uncharacterized. NCBI's taxonomy places the organism in Eukaryota, Metazoa, Chordata, Chondrichthyes, Myliobatiformes, Myliobatidae. The record is from RefSeq and is a predicted model, not a curated record. The transcript has 4 exons.